This 23-nucleotide small nuclear RNA is filed under the name Arabidopsis thaliana (thale cress). Its description in RNAcentral is "snRNA_02716". The record is from RNAcentral. Lineage: Eukaryota; Viridiplantae; Streptophyta; Magnoliopsida; Brassicales; Brassicaceae.
AUAUACGGAUACACCUGUUCCAA